GGAGGGUGCAAGCGUUAAUCGGAAUUACUGGGCGUAAAGCGCACGCAGGCGGUUUGUUAAGUCAGAUGUGAAAUCCCCGGGCUCAACCUGGGAACUGCAUCUGAUACUGGCAAGCUUGAGUCUCGUAGAGGGGGGUAGAAUUCCAGGUGUAGCGGUGAAAUGCGUAGAGAUCUGGAGGAAUACCGGUGGCGAAGGCGGCCCCCUGGACGAAGACUGACGCUCAGGUGCGAAAGCGUGGGGAGCAAACAGGAUUAGAUACCCUGGUAGUCCACGCCGUAAACGAUGUCGACUUGGAGGUUGUGCCCCUUGAGGCGUGGCUUCCGGAGCUAACGCGUUAAGUCGACCGCCUGGGGAGUACGGCCGCAAGGUUA
RNAcentral lists this ribosomal RNA (371 nucleotides) under uncultured organism. RNAcentral's name for it is "partial 16S ribosomal RNA". It matches the Rfam family "Bacterial small subunit ribosomal RNA", at positions 527 to 896 of the family's 1533-position model. The record is from RNAcentral.